UCGAAGAGCCUUUCCCCUUUAGCCUCGCACGCGCCCCUCCCCUUUCCGACCCUCGCUGUCAGCUGCCUGCGCUUCGCCAACCGCGCCUUGCUAACCAUCGCUCGUUCUCACUGAUGGUAGCUCGUUGGUAGGUUGUCGCCCACGCAGAAGCCAUCGCUCGUGUCGCAUUUUUCAUCCGCAGCUCGCCCAUCCAGCAGCGCGCGUCAGAUCUAUCUGGCGUCGGACCGCCCAAAGUCACCGCGUGCUCCAGUCGUCUCUGUCGCCCUGUCCAAUUGCAUGUUUGAGACGUCGUCGACAACGUCGGUCGCUGCCACAUGUCAGUUCGGUCGUCCGACGUCACCUACUGCCAUUCAGCCGCCGGAACCUUAUUUGGGUGAGCUUUAGAUUCAGGGCUUGGAAGUUUUGAGGUGGCCAACAAAUUCAAGACCAAUUUUGACAAAGAUGGUUAGAUUGUGGUAAAUUUUCCUUGGGCAAAUUCAAGUUUAUUCAAAAGCUUUAAGGACACUAUUUUCGUGGACUGUUGUUCGUGACCAAAUAUGAGAAGGACUUGGGAAAAAGUACUCAAAUCUUGAGAAGAUAAAGAAGCUAUUGUGGUCUUUG
Molecule: long non-coding RNA, 600 nt
Organism: Benincasa hispida (wax gourd)
Lineage: Eukaryota; Viridiplantae; Streptophyta; Magnoliopsida; Cucurbitales; Cucurbitaceae
Source: RefSeq, a predicted model, not a curated record